AACAUUAAAACACCGGUUCCCGUACGAUCAACGAAGUUAAGCAACGUCGAGCCAGGCCAGUACCUUGAUGGAUGACCGCUUGGGAGUGCCAGGUGAUGUAAG
Molecule: non-coding RNA, 102 nt
Organism: Acanthosepion pharaonis
Lineage: Eukaryota; Metazoa; Mollusca; Cephalopoda; Sepiida; Sepiidae
Source: the annotation of a GenBank genome assembly